CAAGUCGAGCGGACCUCUUCGGAGGUCAGCGGCGGACGGGUGAGUAACACGUGGGCAACCUGCCUGUAAGACUGGGAUAACUCCGGGAAACCGGAGCUAAUACCGGAUACUAUGUCAAACCGCAUGGUUUGACAUUCAAAGACGGUUUCGGCUGUCACUUACAGAUGGGCCCGCGGCGCAUUAGCUAGUUGGUGAGGUAAUGGCUCACCAAGGCGACGAUGCGUAGCCGACCUGAGAGGGUGAUCGGCCACACUGGGACUGAGACACGGCCCAGACUCCUACGGGAGGCAGCAGUAGGGAAUCUUCCGCAAUGGACGAAAGUCUGACGGAGCAACGCCGCGUGAGUGAUGAAGGUUUUCGGAUCGUAAAACUCUGUUGUCAGGGAAGAACAAGUGCCGGAGUAACUGCCGGCACCUUGACGGUACCUGACCAGAAAGCCACGGCUAACUACGUGCCAGCAGCCGCGGUAAUACGUAGGUGGCAAGCGUUGUCCGGAAUUAUUGGGCGUAAAGCGCGCGCAGGCGGUUUCUUAAGUCUGAUGUGAAAGCCCCCGGCUCAACCGGGGAGGGUCAUUGGAAACUGGGAAACUUGAGUGCAGAAGAGGAGAGUGGAAUUCCACGUGUAGCGGUGAAAUGCGUAGAGAUGUGGAGGAACACCAGUGGCGAAGGCGACUCUCUGGUCUGUAACUGACGCUGAGGCGCGAAAGCGUGG
RNAcentral lists this ribosomal RNA (711 nucleotides) under Metabacillus indicus. RNAcentral's name for it is "bacterial SSU rRNA". It matches the Rfam family "Bacterial small subunit ribosomal RNA", at positions 58 to 764 of the family's 1533-position model. Lineage: Bacteria; Bacillati; Bacillota; Bacilli; Caryophanales; Bacillaceae. The record is from RNAcentral.